AGUGAACGCUGGCGGUAGGCCUAACACAUGCAAGUCGAACGGCAGCACAGUAAGAGCUUGCUCUUACGGGUGGCGAGUGGCGGACGAGUGAGGAAUACAUCGGAAUCUACUUUUUCGUGGGGGUUAACGUAGGGAAACUUACGCUCAUACCGCAUACGACCUACGGGUGAAAGCAGGGGAUCUUCGGACCUUGCGCGAUUGAAUGAGCCGAUGUCGGAUUAGCUAGUUGGCGGGGUAAAGGCCCACCAAGGCGACGAUCCGUAGCUGGUCUGAGAGGAUGGUCAGCGACACUGGAACUGAGACACGGUCCAUACUCCUACGGGAGGCAGCAGUGUGGAAUAUUGGACAAUGGGCGCAAGCCUGAUCCAGCCAUACCGCGUGGGUUAAGAAGGCCUUCGGGUUGUAAAGCCCUUUUGUUGGGAAAGAAAAGCAGCAGGUUAAUACCCCGCUGUUCUGACGGUACCCAAAGAAUAAGCACCGGCUAACUUCGUG
RNAcentral lists this ribosomal RNA (492 nucleotides) under uncultured bacterium. RNAcentral's name for it is "partial 16S ribosomal RNA". It matches the Rfam family "Bacterial small subunit ribosomal RNA", at positions 29 to 507 of the family's 1533-position model. The record is from RNAcentral.